This 759-nucleotide long non-coding RNA is filed under the name Mus pahari (shrew mouse). RNAcentral describes it as "lncRNA (MGP_PahariEiJ_G0002471.1)". The record is from RNAcentral. Lineage: Eukaryota; Metazoa; Chordata; Mammalia; Rodentia; Muridae.
ACAGAAGGGAAAUCUCACUUCUGCUUGGGCAGGAGUGCCUAGGAUUAGAAACAUAAGAUGUUAUAAGGUUAAGUCACAUGCUUACUGUUUACCCAAAGCAUGUUAUCAAUGUCAUGCAGCACAGGGUCCAUCGUCAGAGGAGUUCAUACUCUCCAAGUACAGCUGUCUUAUGGAAAGACUUCUCAGAGCACAGACCAGCUGACUCAACGUCUCCUGCCAGCCGUCAGCACACACGCGGUGUUCUCUUGCAGAUCUGUGAACAGUCAGGAAUGAGGAGGAGUUCCCAUUUUUAGAGAGGGUCACUGAAGGGGGAAAAUGCGAGAAAGCCUAAUUAAAAACACGUCUUCUCCAGAGUCCGCCUGGGGCAGCAACUGUGGCCUUGAAAUCACAUCAACUGUCUGCACUGGACCUGUCAAUAUUCGGUCACGAGUGAGGAAGGGGAUCACCGGGGUUCGCUCGUCCCUGACAAAAGAGACUGAUGGCUGGAAGGUUCUGGAAGGGUGGAAGUCAUUGUCUACAGUUGUGUUCCCAAUGGUGACCUCGCCAAACUCUGAUGGAGAGUGCCAAAGAGAUGCCACCGGUUCAACUCAAUGACGUCACAAAAUAAAGCAAAGAGACAAUCACGCGAAAGGAGGACUUGUGUGGGGGGAGGGGGAUUGACAGGGACAGAAGAUGAGAGUAGUUAGAUUGCAUUUUAUACGUGAAAGAAAACGUCAGAGGCAAGUUAAUUAAUAAAACAGGGAAAAGAAGGUUUAAUGU